This 1028-nucleotide long non-coding RNA is filed under the name Mytilus galloprovincialis (Mediterranean mussel). Lineage: Eukaryota; Metazoa; Mollusca; Bivalvia; Mytilida; Mytilidae. The record is from RNAcentral.
GGUUGUUGGGUUGCUGCCCCUGAAUUGGUAAUUUUGAGGAAAUUUUGCUGUUUUUGGUUAUUAUCUUGAAUAUUAUUAUAGAUAGAGGUAAACUGUAAACAGCAAUAAUGUUCAGCAAAGUAAGAUCUACAAAUAAGUCAACAUGACCAAAAUGGUCAGGUGACCCGUUUAGGAGUUAUUGCCCUUUAUAGUCAAUUUUUAACCAUUUUUCGUUAAUUAAAGUAAUCUUUUACAAAAAUCUUCUCCUCUGAAACUACUGGGCCAAAUUAAUCCAAACUUGGCCACAAUCAUCUUUGGGGUAUCUAGUUUAAAAAAUGUGUGGCAUGAAUUGGUCAACCAACCAAGAUGGCCGCCACGGCUAAAAAUAGAACAAAGGGGUAAAAUGCAGUUUUUGGCUUAUAACUCAAAACCAAAGCAUUUUGAGGAAAUCUGACAUGGGAUAAAAAUGUUUAUCAGGUCAAGAUCUAUCUGCCCUGAAAUUUUCAGAUGAAUCGGUCAAUCGGUUGUUGGGUUGCUGCCCCUGAAUUGGUAAUUUUGAGGAAAUUUUGCUGUUUUUGGUUAUUAUCUUGAAUAUUAUUAUAGAUAGAGAUAUACUGUAAACAGCAAUAAUGUUCAGCAAAGUAAGAUCUACAAAUAAGUCAACAUGACCAAAAUGGUCAGUUGACCCGUUUAGGAGUUAUUGCCCUUUAUAGUCAAUUUUUAACCAUUUUUCGUAAAUUAAAGUAAUCUUUUACAAAAUCUUCUCCUCUGAAACUACUGGGCCAAAUUAAUCCAAACUUGGCCACAAUCAUCUUUGGGGUAUCUAGUUUAAAAAAUGUGUGGCAUGACCUGGUCAACCAACCAAGAUGGCCGCCACCGCUAAAAAUAGAACAUAGGGGUAAAAUGCAGUUUUUGGCUUAUAACUCAAAAACCAAAGCAUUUUGAGGAAAUCUGACGGAAUAAAAAUGUUUAUCAGGUCAAGAUCUAUCUGCCCUGAAAUUUUCAGAUGAAUCGGUCAAUCGGUUGUUGGGUUGCUGCCCCUGAGUUGG